This 73-nucleotide transfer RNA is filed under the name Cyanophora paradoxa. Its description in RNAcentral is "tRNA-Arg". It matches the Rfam family "tRNA". Rfam says of the family: Transfer RNA (tRNA) molecules are approximately 80 nucleotides in length. Their secondary structure includes four short double-helical elements and three loops (D, anti-codon, and T loops). Lineage: Eukaryota; Glaucocystophyceae; Cyanophorales; Cyanophoraceae. The record is from RNAcentral.
GGGCAUGUAACUUAGAGGAUAGAGUGCCAGAUUCCGGUUCUGAUGGUCGGGGGUUCGAGUCCCUCCAUGCCCG